UACGUAGGGUGCAAGCGUUAAUCGGAAUUACUGGGCGUAAAGCGUGCGCAGGCGGUUAUGUAAGACAGAUGUGAAAUCCCCGGGCUCAACCUGGGAAUGGCAUUGGUGACUGCACGGCUAGAGUGUGUCAGAGGGGGGUAGAAUUCCACGUGUAGCAGUGAAAUGCGUAGAGAUGUGGAGGAAUACCGAUGGCGAAGGCAGCCCCCUGGGAUAACACUGACGCUCAUGCACGAAAGCGUGGGGAGCAAACAGG
Molecule: ribosomal RNA, 253 nt
Filed under: uncultured bacterium
Lineage: Bacteria
Description: partial 16S ribosomal RNA
Rfam family: Bacterial small subunit ribosomal RNA
Source: RNAcentral